GACAGAGGGUGCAAACGUUGCUCGGAAUCACUGGGCGUAAAGGGAGCGUAGGUGGGUUGGUAAGUCAGUGGUGAAAUCCCCGAGCUUAACUUGGGAACUGCCAUUGAUACUAUCAGUCUUGAAUACUGUGGAGGUUAGCGGAAUAUGUCAUGUAGCGGUGAAAUGCUUAGAUAUGACAUAGAACACCAAUUGCGAAGGCAGCUGGCUACACAAUUAUUGACACUGAGGCUCGAAAGCGUGGGGAUCAAACAGG
RNAcentral lists this ribosomal RNA (253 nucleotides) under uncultured bacterium. RNAcentral describes it as "partial 16S ribosomal RNA". It matches the Rfam family "Bacterial small subunit ribosomal RNA", at positions 524 to 776 of the family's 1533-position model. The record is from RNAcentral.